CCUACGGGUGGCUGCAGUCGAGGAUUUUUGGCAAUGGGCGCAAGCCUGACCAAGCGACGCCGAGUGCGGGAUGAAGGUUUUCGGAUUGUAAACCGCUUUUGACGGGGAUGAAGUGCCUGGGGGUUCUCCCCUGGGUUUGACAUAACUGUAGAAUAAGCACAGGCUAAGCUCGUGCCAGCAGCCGCGGUAAUACGAGCUGUGCAAACGUUACUCGGAAUCAUUGGGCUUAAAGGGUGCGUAGGCGGCCUCGCAAGUCGGGUGUGAAAUGUCCUGGC
RNAcentral lists this ribosomal RNA (275 nucleotides) under uncultured bacterium. RNAcentral's name for it is "partial 16S ribosomal RNA". It matches the Rfam family "Bacterial small subunit ribosomal RNA", at positions 338 to 608 of the family's 1533-position model. The record is from RNAcentral.